AGAGUUUGAUCAUGGCUCAGAUUGAACGCUGGCGGCAGGCCUAACACAUGCAAGUCGAACGGUAACAGGAAGAAGCUUGCUUCUUUGCUGACGAGUGGCGGACGGGUGAGUAAUGUCUGGGAAACUGCCUGAUGGAGGGGGAUAACUACUGGAAACGGUAGCUAAUACCGCAUAACGUCGCAAGACCAAAGAGGGGGACCUUCGGGCCUCUUGCCAUCGGAUGCGCCCAGAUGGGAUUAGCUAGUAGGUGGGGUAACGGCUCACCUAGGCGACGAUCCCUAGCUGGUCUGAGAGGAUGACCAGCCACACUGGAACUGAGACACGGUCCAGACUCCUACGGGAGGCAGCAGUGGGGAAUAUUGCACAAUGGGCGCAAGCCUGAUGCAGCCAUGCCGCGUGUAUGAAGAAGGCCUUCGGGUUGUAAAGUACUUUCAGCGGGGAGGAAGGGAGUAAAGUUAAUACCUUUGCUCAUUGACGUUACCCGCAGAAGAAGCACCGGCUAACUCCGUGCCAGCAGCCGCGGUAAUACGGAGGGUGCAAGCGUUAAUCGGAAUUACUGGGCGUAAAGCGCACGCAGGCGGUUUGUUAAGUCAGAUGUGAAAUCCCCGGGCUCAACCUGGGAACUGCAUCUGAUACUGGCAAGCUUGAGUCUCGUAGAGGGGGGUAGAAUUCCAGGUGUAGCGGUGAAAUGCGUAGAGAUCUGGAGGAACACCGGUGGCGAAGGCGGCCCCCUGGGCGAAGACUGACGCUCAGGUGCGAAAGCGUGGGGAGCAAACAGGAUUAGAUACCCUGGUAGUCCACGCCGAAAACGAUGUCGACUUGGAGGUUGUGCCCUUGAGGCGUGGCUUCCGGAGCUAACGCGUUAAGUCGACCGCCUGGGGAGUACGGCCGCAAGGUUAAAACUCAAAUGAAUUGACGGGGGCCCGCACAAGCGGUGGAGCAUGUGGUUUAAUUCGAUGCAACGCGAAGAACCUUACCUGGUCUUGACAUCCACGGAAGUUUUCAGAGAUGAGAAUGUGCCUUCGGGAACCGUGAGACAGGUGCUGCAUGGCUGUCGUCAGCUCGUGUUGUGAAAUGUUGGGUUAAGUCCCGCAACGAGCGCAACCCUUAUCCUUUGUUGCCAGCGGUCCGGCCGGGAACUCAAAGGAGACUGCCAGUGAUAAACUGGAGGAAGGUGGGGAUGACGUCAAGUCAUCAUGGCCCUUACGACCAGGGCUACACACGUGCUACAAUGGCGCAUACAAAGAGAAGCGACCUCGCGAGAGCAAGCGGACCUCAUAAAGUGCGUCGUAGUCCGGAUUGGAGUCUGCAACUCGACUCCAUGAAGUCGGAAUCGCUAGUAAUCGUGGAUCAGAAUGCCACGGUGAAUACGUUCCCGGGCCUUGUACACACCGCCCGUCACACCAUGGGAGUGGGUUGCAAAAGAAGUAGGUAGCUUAACCUUCGGGAGGGCGCUUACCACUUUGUGAUUCAUGACUGGGGUGAAGUCGUAACAAGGUAACCGUAGGGGAACCUGCGGUUG
Molecule: ribosomal RNA, 1522 nt
Filed under: metagenome
Description: bacterial SSU rRNA
Rfam family: Bacterial small subunit ribosomal RNA
Source: RNAcentral